CUGACUGUCAAAGUCAAACAAGUGUCAAACAAAUAGGCCGGGUUUCCACUGACGCGGAGAUGUGCGGAGAAGAGCGGAGAUGUGCG
This 86-nucleotide unclassified non-coding RNA is filed under the name Pectinophora gossypiella (pink bollworm). Its description in RNAcentral is "uncharacterized LOC126366546". Lineage: Eukaryota; Metazoa; Arthropoda; Insecta; Lepidoptera; Gelechiidae. The record is from RNAcentral.